GAUGAACGCUAGCGGCAGGCCUAACACAUGCAAGUCGAGGGGCAUCGCGGUGCAGCAAUGCACUGGCGGCGACCGGCGUACGGGUGCGUAACGCGUAUGCAACCUGCCCCGCACCGGGGGAUAGCCCGCCGAAAGGCGGAUUAAUACCCCAUGGUCCCCGGGUGUCCGCAUGGGCAUCCGGGUAAAGCCUUGGCGGUGCGGGAUGGGCAUGCGUGCCAUUAGCUGGCUGGUGGGGUAACGGCCUACCAGGGCAACGAUGGCUAGGGGGUCUGAGAGGAUGGUCCCCCACACUGGUACUGAGACACGGACCAGACUCCUACGGGAGGCAGCAGUGAGGAAUAUUGGUCAAUGGGCGGAAGCCUGAACCAGCCAUGCCGCGUGCGGGAUGAAGGCCCUACGGGUUGUAAACCGCUUUUCCCCGGGAAGAAUAACCCCGAUGAGUCGGGGGAUGCCGGUACCGGGGGAAUAAGGAUCGGCUAACUCCGUG
RNAcentral lists this ribosomal RNA (487 nucleotides) under uncultured bacterium. Its description in RNAcentral is "bacterial SSU rRNA". It matches the Rfam family "Bacterial small subunit ribosomal RNA", at positions 28 to 507 of the family's 1533-position model. The record is from RNAcentral.